This 87-nucleotide transfer RNA is filed under the name bioreactor metagenome. RNAcentral's name for it is "tRNA-Leu". It matches the Rfam family "tRNA". From Rfam's summary of the family: Transfer RNA (tRNA) molecules are approximately 80 nucleotides in length. Their secondary structure includes four short double-helical elements and three loops (D, anti-codon, and T loops). The record is from RNAcentral.
GCCGGAGUGGCGGAAUUGGCAGACGCCCGGGACUUAAAAUCCCGUGAGAGAAAUCUCGUGCCGGUUCGACCCCGGUCUCCGGCACCA